RNAcentral lists this long non-coding RNA (1291 nucleotides) under Gopherus agassizii (Agassiz's desert tortoise). RNAcentral describes it as "lncRNA (ENSGAGG00000025057.1)". The record is from RNAcentral. Lineage: Eukaryota; Metazoa; Chordata; Testudines; Testudinidae.
AUGUGCUGGGGUGGGUCUUUGAGGCGGUGGGCAUGUCCAGGCGCUAGGUACUUACUGUGCUACCGCCAGAACUGGCUUUUUAAGCCUUGGAGUUCAGAACAAUAUACCCAGCUGUGCCUCUGCCAAUCAUCUGGGCAGCAUGUAAGUUGCAGUCGCAUUGGCAGGUGGCUGAUAAUGGCAAUUCUGAUAACGUUUGGUCCCGGGAGCCUCUGUCCUCCUUUACCACCCUCGAACAAUGGCAAUUCUGCUCUCAGUAGAUUCUCCUACAGUGUGUUUCCAACACAAGCUUAGGGGGGUACUGGUGCAGGGGUGGGAGCCUCUCCUAUCUGCCAUCACGGCAGACCUAGGUCAGGCUACCACCUCAUGUCUCUGAGGAAGGGAUUGGUGGCUCUCAGCCAGGUCCCCAUUAAACAAACGUCUGUAUCCCCCAAGCUCCGUCGUCUUUCCUGCUCUGUGGCUCCCAUCUUGAUACAUGCAGUGGGAAUGGGCCUUGUUCUCACCUUUCCCAGUGCUCCUUAUACAUGGAACCUCAGCCCUAGAUUAUGGGGCUGGAGUUAGAGGGAGGGCAGUUUGCCUGGGCUGUACCCAGCCUGGAGGCCUUCAGUUUCCAGGGCUAUCCCACUGGCAUCUCUGUCGAGCUUGGUGAGGAGAAAAAGCUGAAGGCCACCCGGCCCAGUCAUGGGCUGCUUGUGGCCUUAAGUCAGAAUUGUCGUUGCUUGUGUGUUUUAAGUCUGAAUUGAAAAGUGGAUGCUGCAGAUCGUGGGCCCUGCAUUUCAGGGAACUGUGCUUUCAGUCUGAGCUCCAGCUUUUCAGAUGCCUGACUCACAACCCGGUCACCCACCACUCCUUCCACUUCAUAGCCAGCCUUCUUGGGCUGAGACUUUCAUCUCCGAGGGGGGAGUGGGAUUUGGAACCCAAUCUCCCUGCUCACCCUGCCGAAUUCACACCCAAUUAGUUAACUUCACCAGCCAUGCUUGGGCAUUAAAAUCAACAGGAGUCUUUCCAUUGGCCCCAAUGGGCAUUGGAUUCAGGCCCUUGUGAGGGGGAUGGAGGAAACCCUUUGAUGAGAGACUUGCUGCAUCUUUCAGGUACCUACAGAUGCAUGACUGCUGUACCCAGAUGGCAUCAUGCUGCUUUGUUAGUGUUUAUGGACACUGGGGUUUGCACAGUUCCUGUAUGAUGCUACUUUUCCGCCCUGAGAUUUGAGUGCCUACUUUGUAUAUCUGUCUAACAGCAAUGAGGAAUAACAAAGAUUAUUUUUAUUGGCAUUUGUAAUAUCUCUUGGGGCGAU